Long non-coding RNA from Pimephales promelas (fathead minnow), 1615 nucleotides. RefSeq lists it as uncharacterized. Lineage: Eukaryota; Metazoa; Chordata; Actinopteri; Cypriniformes; Leuciscidae. The record is from RefSeq and is a predicted model, not a curated record.
UCGGGCGGAAACCUCGUAUGUCCAAAUUUGGUCAAUUUCAUAUUUUUUCACAAAUCGAUGUUAUUGGUCAGUCUCCACGUGGGUCUGUUAUUUUUACAAAUUAUUACCCAAUCGAAAGUGUUGAAAAUAGCUUGUGAGCAAACCUCUUAACUCCAUUGGACACUUCAACUGUGUGUCAAACCUCGUAACUCCACCCCUUCUUCACUUGGCGCCGCUGCACUGCCUGGGAGCUUUGCGGCAUUUUUUCUCCUCAAGAUUGGAAGUCGCUGAGCAACACGUCCUCUGAGGUAAAUGUCCUUAUUCAUGAUUUAGUUAUAUCAAUUAUAUAAUAACAGUUUAUAUAUUAUAUAACAGUUUUAUCUCGAUCGAAGUAAUGGUAGUGCAAGUGUAAUGUAGUCUAAUUAUGUUGAUUUCUGAGGAUGCUAGAUUUUUCUUUCUGCUAUGUCUUUGCAUUAGACGGUAAGUUAGCUAAGUUAACUUAUCAUGUUGAUUGAAAUCUUCCAUGGUAUUGUUUCUGACGAGGAAAUUUAAUUUAAACCGCAAAAAUUGCCUGUCGUUGACUUAGUUAGCCGCUAUGUCACGUUAUUGGUUUUGUCAUCAUGUUAGCUGCUAGGUGAGAUAGGCAGCUGUGAUUUUCGUGGGGCUUAAAUAAAAAUCUCUCGACCCCUGCUAACGCUAGUUCUGGCACUCAUUUGAGGAACAACAUAAUAAUUUAAUGUGCUAUGUCAGGAUUGUAGCUUACAAUGUCAAGGCAUUCCGUCAUGUUCAUCACUUUAAGCAAGCUAGCUGGCCUCUUGCCUUGUUAUCAUACGUAAACAUGCCGUAUAACUUAGUGAAACGAUCAUUUGACCUUUAUUUUAUUUUUUGCAGCAACCAUGUCUGUGUCCUUAAAGGAGCUCUGUCAGAUGGUCAAUGUGCCAUAUGAUCAGGCAAUGGCCCUAAUAUGACAGUGAGAGCUCUGAUGGAGAUAGUGUAACGUUAGAGAGAGAGGAAGCAACAGUGGUGGAGGAUACAGUGGUGCAUGCUGAUUUAUCUGGUGGUCUGGAGGAAGAGGAGGCCUCACUCCUGGCUCCAGAGCAGGUGCAGUUUGACACGGAUUUCUCUGGUGGUCUGGAGGAAGAGGAGGCCUCACUGCUGGCUCCAGAGCAGGUGCAGUUUGACACGGUUUUCCAUGGUGCAGGCGAUGAGGACUCGGAUGCACAGCAUUCAUGCUCAGAUGCUGAGGAAGACGCACCUCCAAGGAAAAGACUGAGAGCUUACAGAUCUUACACCGUGUCCUAACUACACGCGAUGUGACGCGACGCCGCGUCACGUAAUAAAAGGUACAACAACAAUGGAACGAUGGACUUCAAAAUCAACCACUCUGAUUACUGGCAUUCACAUCCAAGUCACCAACUCCGAAACUCCACCUCAGACAGCCACACAGUCACCCCCACUCUAUUCAGGCCGCCUGAAGAUCACAGUGCUGAAAUUCAAGACCUGAAGGAAGUCAUCCCAAAGGACUUUCACAGCUUUUACGACAAUUUACUUCACUAGCUUAAUAUAGGAUGCAGUAUUAAAGGAGAACUGGCAAAAUGAUCCUGGGGUGUAAUAACACAUUGGUAUCGAGUUUUAU